Molecule: ribosomal RNA, 176 nt
Filed under: Klebsiella pneumoniae
Lineage: Bacteria; Pseudomonadati; Pseudomonadota; Gammaproteobacteria; Enterobacterales; Enterobacteriaceae
Description: partial 23S ribosomal RNA
Rfam family: Bacterial large subunit ribosomal RNA
Source: RNAcentral
GCGGUCUCCUCCUAAAGAGUAACGGAGGAGUACGAAGGUGCGCUCAGACCGGUCGGAAAUCGGUCGUAGAGUAUAAAGGCAAAAGCGCGCUUGACUGCGAGACAGACACGUCGAGCAGGUACGAAAGUAGGUCUUAGUGAUCCGGUGGUUCUGUAUGGAAGGGAAGUGAACGACAG